This 90-nucleotide transfer RNA is filed under the name Candidatus Vecturithrix granuli. It matches the Rfam family "tRNA". Rfam says of the family: Transfer RNA (tRNA) molecules are approximately 80 nucleotides in length. Their secondary structure includes four short double-helical elements and three loops (D, anti-codon, and T loops). The record is from Rfam by way of RNAcentral. RNAcentral also lists the same sequence under 1 other name. Lineage: Bacteria; Candidatus Moduliflexota; Candidatus Vecturitrichia; Candidatus Vecturitrichales; Candidatus Vecturitrichaceae.
GGAGAGGUGACCGAGAGGCCGAAGGUAGCGGAUUGCUAAUCCGUCGUACUCCAAAAAGGUGUACCGUGGGUUCGAAUCCCACCCUCUCCG